UGUGAGCUCGAUGAGUAGGGCGGGACACGUGGUAUCCUGUCUGAAUAUGGGGGGACCAUCCUCCAAGGCUAAAUACUCCUGACUGACCGAUAGUGAACCAGUACCGUGAGGGAAAGGCGAAAAGAACCCCGGCGAGGGGAGUGAAAAAGAACCUGAAACCGUGUACGUACAAGCAGUGGGAGCACGCUUAGGCGUGUGACUGCGUACCUUUUGUAUAAUGGGUCAGCGACUUAUAUUCUGUAGCAAGGUUAACCGAAUAGGGGAGCCGAAGGGAAACCGAGUCUUAACUGGGCGUUAAGUUGCAGGGUAUAGACCCGAAACCCGGUGAUCUAGCCAUGGGCAGGUUGAAGGUUGGGUAACACUAACUGGAGGACCGAACCGACUAAUGUUGAAAAAUUAGCGGAUGACUUGUGGCUGGGGGUGAAAGGCCAAUCAAACCGGGAGAUAGCUGGUUCUCCCCGAAAGCUAUUUAGGUAGCGCCUCGUGAACUCAUCUCCGGGGGUAGAGCACUGUUUCGGCAAGGGGGUCAUCCCGACUUACCAACCCGAUGCAAACUGCGAAUACCGGAGAAUGUUAUCACGGGAGACACACGGCGGGUGCUAACGUCCGUCGUGAAGAGGGAAACAACCCAGACCGCCAGCUAAGGUCCCAAAGUCAUGGUUAAGUGGGAAACGAUGUGGGAAGGCCCAGACAGCCAGGAUGUUGGCUUAGAAGCAGCCAUCAUUUAAAGAAAGCGUAAUAGCUCACUGGUCGAGUCGGCCUGCGCGGAAGAUGUAACGGGGCUAAACCAUGCACCGAAGCUGCGGCAGCGACGCUUAUGCGUUGUUGGGUAGGGGAGCGUUCUGUAAGCCUGUGAAGGUGUGCUGUGAGGCAUGCUGGAGGUAUCAGAAGUGCGAAUGCUGACAUAAGUAACGAUAAAGCGGGUGAAAAGCCCGCUCGCCGGAAGACCAAGGGUUCCUGUCCAACGUUAAUCGGGGCAGGGUGAGUCGACCCCUAAGGCGAGGCCGAAAGGCGUAGUCGAUGGGAAACAGGUUAAUAUUCCUGUACUUGGUGUUACUGCGAAGGGGGGACGGAGAAGGCUAUGUUGGCCGGGCGACGGUUGUCCCGGUUUAAGCGUGUAGGCUGGUUUUCCAGGCAAAUCCGGAAAAUCAAGGCUGAGGCGUGAUGACGAGGCACUACGGUGCUGAAGCAACAAAUGCCCUGCUUCCAGGAAAAGCCUCUAAGCAUCAGGUAACAUCAAAUCGUACCCCAAACCGACACAGGUGGUCAGGUAGAGAAUACCAAGGCGCUUGAGAGAACUCGGGUGAAGGAACUAGGCAAAAUGGUGCCGUAACUUCGGGAGAAGGCACGCUGAUAUGUAGGUGAAGUCCCUCGCGGAUGGAGCUGAAAUCAGUCGAAGAUACCAGCUGGCUGCAACUGUUUAUUAAAAACACAGCACUGUGCAAACACGAAAGUGGACGUAUACGGUGUGACGCCUGCCCGGUGCCGGAAGGUUAAUUGAUGGGGUCAGCGCAAGCGAAGCUCUUGAUCGAAGCCCCGGUAAACGGCGGCCGUAACUAUAACGGUCCUAAGGUAGCGAAAUUCCUUGUCGGGUAAGUUCCGACCUGCACGAAUGGCGUAAUGAUGGCCAGGCUGUCUCCACCCGAGACUCAGUGAAAUUGAACUCGCUGUGAAGAUGCAGUGUACCCGCGGCAAGACGGAAAGACCCCGUGAACCUUUACUAUAGCUUGACACUGAACAUUGAGCCUUGAUGUGUAGGAUAGGUGGGAGGCUUGGAAGUGUGGACGCCAGUCUGCAUGGAGCCGACCUUGAAAUACCACCCUUUAAUGUUUGAUGUUCUAACGUUGACCCGUAAUCCGGGUUGCGGACAGUGUCUGGUGGGUAGUUUGACUGGGGCGGUCUCCUCCUAAAGAGUAACGGAGGAGCACGAAGGUUGGCUAAUCCUGGUCGGACAUCAGGAGGUUAGUGCAAUGGCAUAAGCCAGCUUGACUGCGAGCGUGACGGCGCGAGCAGGUGCGAAAGCAGGUCAUAGUGAUCCGGUGGUUCUGAAUGGAAGGGCCAUCGCUCAACGGAUAAAAGGUACUCCGGGGAUAACAGGCUGAUACCGCCCAAGAGUUCAUAUCGACGGCGGUGUUUGGCACCUCGAUGUCGGCUCAUCACAUCCUGGGGCUGAAGUAGGUCCCAAGGGUAUGGCUGUUCGCCAUUUAAAGUGGUACGCGAGCUGGGUUUAGAACGUCGUGAGACAGUUCGGUCCCUAUCUGCCGUGGGCGCUGGAGAACUGAGGGGGGCUGCUCCUAGUACGAGAGGACCGGAGUGGACGCAUCACUGGUGUUCGGGUUGUCAUGCCAAUGGCACUGCCCGGUAGCUAAAUGCGGAAGAGAUAAGUGCUGAAAGCAUCUAAGCACGAAACUUGCCCCGAGAUGAGUUCUCCCUGAC
RNAcentral lists this ribosomal RNA (2436 nucleotides) under Escherichia coli. RNAcentral's name for it is "partial 23S ribosomal RNA". It matches the Rfam family "Bacterial large subunit ribosomal RNA", at positions 398 to 2819 of the family's 2925-position model. Lineage: Bacteria; Pseudomonadati; Pseudomonadota; Gammaproteobacteria; Enterobacterales; Enterobacteriaceae. The record is from RNAcentral.